This 429-nucleotide ribosomal RNA is filed under the name uncultured Lachnospiraceae bacterium. RNAcentral's name for it is "partial 16S ribosomal RNA". It matches the Rfam family "Bacterial small subunit ribosomal RNA", at positions 341 to 785 of the family's 1533-position model. The record is from RNAcentral. Lineage: Bacteria; Bacillati; Bacillota; Clostridia; Lachnospirales; Lachnospiraceae.
ACGGAAGGCAGCAGUGGGGAAUAUUGCACAAUGGGGGAAACCCUGAUGCAGCAACGCCGCGUGAGUGAUGAAGUAUUUCGGUAUGUAAAACUCUAUCAGCAGGGAAGAAAAAAGACGGUACCUGACUAAGAAGCACCGGCUAAAUACGUGCCAGCAGCCGCGGUAAUACGUAUGGUGCAAGCGUUAUCCGGAUUUACUGGGUGUAAAGGGAGCGCAGGCGGCCCUGCAAGCCAGAGGUGAAAACCCGGGGCUCAACCCCGCGGAUUGCCUUUGGAACUGUAAGGCUUGAGUACUGGAGGGGCAGGCGGAAUUCCUGUUGUAGCGGUGAAAUGCGUAGAUAUCAGGAGGAACACCGGUGGCGAAGGCGGCCUGCUGGACAGAAACUGACGCUGAGGCUCGAAAGCGUGGGGAGCAAACAGGAUUAGAUAC